RNAcentral lists this ribosomal RNA (1366 nucleotides) under Klebsiella pneumoniae. RNAcentral describes it as "bacterial SSU rRNA". It matches the Rfam family "Bacterial small subunit ribosomal RNA", at positions 68 to 1429 of the family's 1533-position model. The record is from RNAcentral. Lineage: Bacteria; Pseudomonadati; Pseudomonadota; Gammaproteobacteria; Enterobacterales; Enterobacteriaceae.
AGCACAGAGAGCUUGCUCUCGGGUGACGAGCGGCGGACGGGUGAGUAAUGUCUGGGAAACUGCCUGAUGGAGGGGGAUAACUACUGGAAACGGUAGCUAAUACCGCAUAACGUCGCAAGACCAAAGUGGGGGACCUUCGGGCCUCAUGCCAUCAGAUGUGCCCAGAUGGGAUUAGCUAGUAGGUGGGGUAACGGCUCACCUAGGCGACGAUCCCUAGCUGGUCUGAGAGGAUGACCAGCCACACUGGAACUGAGACACGGUCCAGACUCCUACGGGAGGCAGCAGUGGGGAAUAUUGCACAAUGGGCGCAAGCCUGAUGCAGCCAUGCCGCGUGUGUGAAGAAGGCCUUCGGGUUGUAAAGCACUUUCAGCGGGGAGGAAGGCGGUGAGGUUAAUAACCUUCGCGAUUGACGUUACCCGCAGAAGAAGCACCGGCUAACUCCGUGCCAGCAGCCGCGGUAAUACGGAGGGUGCAAGCGUUAAUCGGAAUUACUGGGCGUAAAGCGCACGCAGGCGGUCUGUCAAGUCGGAUGUGAAAUCCCCGGGCUCAACCUGGGAACUGCAUUCGAAACUGGCAGGCUAGAGUCUUGUAGAGGGGGGUAGAAUUCCAGGUGUAGCGGUGAAAUGCGUAGAGAUCUGGAGGAAUACCGGUGGCGAAGGCGGCCCCCUGGACAAAGACUGACGCUCAGGUGCGAAAGCGUGGGGAGCAAACAGGAUUAGAUACCCUGGUAGUCCACGCCGUAAACGAUGUCGAUUUGGAGGUUGUGCCCUUGAGGCGUGGCUUCCGGAGCUAACGCGUUAAAUCGACCGCCUGGGGAGUACGGCCGCAAGGUUAAAACUCAAAUGAAUUGACGGGGGCCCGCACAAGCGGUGGAGCAUGUGGUUUAAUUCGAUGCAACGCGAAGAACCUUACCUGGUCUUGACAUCCACAGAACUUUCCAGAGAUGGAUUGGUGCCUUCGGGAACUGUGAGACAGGUGCUGCAUGGCUGUCGUCAGCUCGUGUUGUGAAAUGUUGGGUUAAGUCCCGCAACGAGCGCAACCCUUAUCCUUUGUUGCCAGCGGUUAGGCCGGGAACUCAAAGGAGACUGCCAGUGAUAAACUGGAGGAAGGUGGGGAUGACGUCAAGUCAUCAUGGCCCUUACGACCAGGGCUACACACGUGCUACAAUGGCAUAUACAAAGAGAAGCGACCUCGCGAGAGCAAGCGGACCUCAUAAAGUAUGUCGUAGUCCGGAUUGGAGUCUGCAACUCGACUCCAUGAAGUCGGAAUCGCUAGUAAUCGUAGAUCAGAAUGCUACGGUGAAUACGUUCCCGGGCCUUGUACACACCGCCCGUCACACCAUGGGAGUGGGUUGCAAAAGAAGUAG